AAGACUAUACUUUUAGGGAUCAUUUCUAUAGUUUGUUAAAAAUUCUCUUUCAACAACCUAAAGGGAUAACAAAAUUUCCUCACUGUAUGGAAA
RNAcentral lists this small nucleolar RNA (93 nucleotides) under Canis lupus familiaris (dog). RNAcentral describes it as "Small nucleolar RNA U3 (multiple genes)". It matches the Rfam family "Small nucleolar RNA U3". Rfam says of the family: Small nucleolar RNAs (snoRNAs) are involved in the processing and modification of rRNA in the nucleolus. There are two main classes of snoRNAs: the box C/D class, and the box H/ACA class. RNAcentral also lists the same sequence under 1 other name. The record is from Rfam by way of RNAcentral. Lineage: Eukaryota; Metazoa; Chordata; Mammalia; Carnivora; Canidae.